GACGAACGCUGGCGGCGUGCUUAACACAUGCAAGUCGAACGGAAAGGCCCGUGCUUUUGUGGGGUGCUCGAGUGGCGAACGGGUGAGUAACACGUGAGUAACCUGCCCUUGACUUUGGGAUAACUUCAGGAAACUGGGGCUAAUACCGGAUAGGUAUGGACACUGCAUGGUGACCAUAUUAAAAGUGCCAAGGCACUGGUAGAGGAUGGACUUAUGGCGCAUUAGCUGGUUGGUGAGGUAACGGCUCACCAAGGCGACGAUGCGUAGCCGACCUGAGAGGGUGACCGGCCACACUGGGACUGAGACACGGCCCAG
Molecule: ribosomal RNA, 315 nt
Filed under: uncultured bacterium
Lineage: Bacteria
Description: bacterial SSU rRNA
Rfam family: Bacterial small subunit ribosomal RNA
Source: RNAcentral